Molecule: long non-coding RNA, 560 nt
Organism: Helicoverpa armigera (cotton bollworm)
Lineage: Eukaryota; Metazoa; Arthropoda; Insecta; Lepidoptera; Noctuidae
Exons: 2
Source: RefSeq, a predicted model, not a curated record
ACUGUCAAGUCUGUCUGUGUCAUUCGAAACCGUGUAGCUGUCAAAUCAUCCAUUAGUAAGUCAAAGUCAAAACACUAACCUAACCUUUCGAAAUCUUCAAAAGAUAAUUUGGGGUUAUUUAUGAAAUAAAACAGGCACAAUGCAAAGACUUAUGUCCGUUUUGAAAAUUUUGACACCUAUAAGGAGUUUUCCAAUCAGCCAUGUACCGCUAUUGUCGAAAUUCAGCACAUUUCAACAAGUUAUUCGGCAGCCGCUGUUACAGCCAUCUCUCCCAACGAUCAAUCCAGUUUGUGGUUUCAAAGUAAAGGGUCGCUUGAGACGACGCUGUAAAUCAUGCUAUUUUGUUGUUAGAGAUGAAAGGUUGUAUGUAAUCUGUCCAAAGUCUCCCGUCAUAAACAGAUGGCAAUGAAACCUAAACCGUUGAAUACAUGGAUCUUAACACAUGCUAGCCAGAGUCCAGUGCGGCCAUGGUAACAUUUACUCUUAACCAUAAGCAAAAGAAAAGUGUUUUAAUUAUCUUGUUUUAGUUGAUAUAGUAAUUAAAUAAUUUUAGUAUUUAA